AAUGCCAUGGAAUGGGGAAGGGUACAACUCUAGGAUCAGACCCAAAGGGAACUGUUGUGAAUCUUGAUUUUGUGACUUCUUGGCUAUUGGAUUUGGGCCAAUUAUUUGUCAUCUCUGUACCUUAAUUUACUCAUCUAUGAAAGAAGGACUAAAAAUACUUAUCAUAGGAGAAGACAAUAUGUAAGCCACUUGGCAAUGUGCCUGGGACCUAGUGAGCGAUUCUUCUCACUUAUUAUUGUUUUCGUCAUCAUCGACAUCAUCGUCACCAUUACUUUUCAUUGUCUUUGGAAAUUUGGACAGAGACCACAGGCAGAUGCGGUGCCGUAUUCCCACAGGGCUGGAGCAGCGGGUGUGUUUUUCUGUGAUAGCAGCGCUUCCCGGAACCAGCAGGGUACACGUUAUUUGACCUGAAGGGCGAGGGAGUUCAGAGCCUACAGUGAUGAGAGAAAGCCCUGAGUGAACGUUUCCUUUCAGCUUCGUGAGAGGAAGAGUCUAAAUAGGGGAGCCAUCCCCAAAACCUGACCACGAGCAAGGGUGCAAAAUAGGGUGCAGUCUCUUCACAUAUCUAGACAGGAGUAUGAACCUCCUUGGGAGCGUGCAGGCUGGCAAUACCCGUGUGUGCAUGAUGACACGGCAGUUAGGAGCUUCUCUGGGGCCUUCAGGCAGACGGUCUGGGCUGUGUCCUGGCUGUGCCUUUUCCCAGCCCUACCUGCAGUCCUACACAUCUUCUCCACCUCCAGCGGCUUCUCCUUCUCACAUCCACCCUCUGCGAAGGCAUAAAUAGUAGCAACUCCCUUCUGGAUUCUAUGAGGUGAUAAUUACAUGAGAUGGCAGAGCCUGGAGCACGGGAGCUCCUCAGUGACUCAGUCAUGUUCAUUCCAAGGAGUUCAGGGUCCUUGCCGUCUGCAAACCUUUCCCCUUAUUUUCAAGAUCCUUGAGUCUGACUGUCAAGCAGUAACAUUCCAGCCUCAACUACAACAAUACUUGUAGAUGAAUGGAGCUUCCACUGGACCCCAUGUCACUGGUGAGGGACUUCAGGCAGAGAGAAAGCUCAUCCUUUGCCCAAGGUCACACCGCUGGUAAAAAGCAAAUGAAGUUCAAACUGACCUCCUCAUCCCUGCCCUUGUCCUCCCAACAGGCUCCUCACAGGUGGAAAAAUCAACCCCUACAGCAAACUCAUUGUUUUUUUGACCUCUCCUAAAAUUAAAAUCCAAGAUCCCUCA
Long non-coding RNA from Homo sapiens (human), 1223 nucleotides. Ensembl annotates it as long intergenic non-protein coding RNA 2368. Lineage: Eukaryota; Metazoa; Chordata; Mammalia; Primates; Hominidae. The record is from Ensembl.